Molecule: ribosomal RNA, 433 nt
Filed under: uncultured bacterium
Lineage: Bacteria
Description: partial 16S ribosomal RNA
Rfam family: Bacterial small subunit ribosomal RNA
Source: RNAcentral
AACGAACGCUGGCGGCAUGCCUAACACAUGCAAGUCGAACGAAGCCUUCGGGCUUAGUGGCGCACGGGUGCGUAACGCGUGGGAAUCUGCCCCUUGCUUCGGAAUAACAGUUAGAAAUGACUGCUAAUACCGGAUGAAGUCUUCGGACCAAAGAUUUAUCGGCAAGGGAUGAGCCCGCGUAGGAUUAGGUAGUUGGUGGGGUAAAGGCCUACCAAGCCGACGAUCCUUAGCUGGUCUGAGAGGAUGAUCAGCCACACUGGGACUGAGACACGGCCCAGACUCCUACGGGAGGCAGCAGUGGGGAAUAUUGGACAAUGGACGCAAGUCUGAUCCAGCAAUGCCGCGUGAGUGAUGAAGGCCUUAGGGUUGUAAAGCUCUUUUACCAGGGACGAUAAUGACAGUACCUGGAGAAUAAGCUCCGGCUAACUCCGUG